GAUGAACGCUGGCGGCGUGCCUAAUACAUGCCAGUCGAGCGAACAGAUGAGGAGCUUGCUCCUCUGACGUUAGCGGCGGACGGGUGAGUAACACGUGGAUAACCUACCUAUAAGACUGGGAUAACUUCGGGAAACCGGAGCUAAUACCGGAUAAUAUUUUGAACCGCAUGGUUCAAUAGUGAAAGACGGUUUUGCUGUCACUUAUAGAUGGAUCCGCGCCGCAUUAGCUAGUUGGUAAGGUAACGGCUUACCAAGGCAACGAUGCGUAGCCGACCUGAGAGGGUGAUCGGCCACACUGGAACUGAGACACGGUCCAGACUCCUACGGGAGGCAGCAGUAGGGAAUCUUCCGCAAUGGGCGAAAGCCUGACGGAGCAACGCCGCGUGAGUGAUGAAGGUCUUCGGAUCGUAAAACUCUGUUAUUAGGGAAGAACAAAUGUGUAAGUAACUAUGCACGUCUUGACGGUACCUAAUCAGAAAGCCACGGCUAACUACGUG
This 497-nucleotide ribosomal RNA is filed under the name uncultured bacterium. RNAcentral describes it as "partial 16S ribosomal RNA". It matches the Rfam family "Bacterial small subunit ribosomal RNA", at positions 28 to 507 of the family's 1533-position model. The record is from RNAcentral.